Molecule: long non-coding RNA, 640 nt
Filed under: Mytilus galloprovincialis (Mediterranean mussel)
Lineage: Eukaryota; Metazoa; Mollusca; Bivalvia; Mytilida; Mytilidae
Source: RNAcentral
CCCCUGCUAAGCCGAACACUUUUCUUUGUAAGAGUUAUCUCCCUAUUCACUGUUUAUCAUCAGAGUGCAUCUCCUUCGUAACAAAAAAAGAUAGCGACAAAAUUCUUUUUACAAAUUGUUCGUUACAUCCUAAGGAAAAUUUGGCUUAUUUGGAUCGAAGCGAUUCGAUGAAAUUUUAUAGGAGUUAUCUACCUUUACAAAAUUAUUUUCUCAAUAUGUGUUAUUAACUAAUAAACCGUCAACCGUAUAACCCUGGAAUGUAUUUAUUUGAGAUCCCUAGGCCCUUUAUUAGAAAAUGGGGUCAAGGUCAAAGGUCAAGGUCAAGUUCUAAAUUCGGAAUUUUCCAUGUUUUUGCAUUUUCUCCAACCCUUGAAAAGGUACAUAUUAAAGAACAAGUGCAAAAUGAUUGCUAUAUAGUUAUGAAGAUAUGUUUACAUUUGGUCUGAUACAAUUAAAUAGCAUCUAAUAGGAGUUAGUGCCCCUGAAAUGUCUUGAUAUGAGGUUAUUUGAUUAUAACUUCAACUAAGUGCAUUUUAAUGGCAUUUGACCUUGUGCAAAAGGUUGGAUGACAAAUGACCUUGAAAAAUGACUACCGGAAGUGACCUUGAGAAAAACCGGAAGUAACCUUUUUUUGCAAUUU